Molecule: transfer RNA, 71 nt
Filed under: Upeneus sulphureus (sulphur goatfish)
Lineage: Eukaryota; Metazoa; Chordata; Actinopteri; Syngnathiformes; Mullidae
Description: tRNA-Ile
Rfam family: tRNA
About the family: Transfer RNA (tRNA) molecules are approximately 80 nucleotides in length.
Source: RNAcentral
GGACACGUGCCCGAAGUCUAGGGGCCACUUUGAUAGAGUGGAUUAUGGGGGUUAAAGUCCCCCCGUUUCCU